This 458-nucleotide ribosomal RNA is filed under the name uncultured bacterium. RNAcentral describes it as "partial 16S ribosomal RNA". It matches the Rfam family "Bacterial small subunit ribosomal RNA", at positions 338 to 795 of the family's 1533-position model. The record is from RNAcentral.
CCUACGGGCGGCAGCAGUGGGGAAUAUUGCACAAUGGGGGAAACCCUGAUGCAGCGACGCCGCGUGAGUGAAGAAGUAUUUCGGUACGUAAAGCUCUAUCAGCAGGGAAGAAAAACCGGCCUUAGGGCCGCCAGACGGUACCUGACUAAGAAGCCCCGGCUAACUACGUGCCAGCAGCCGCGGUAAUACGUAGGGGGCAAGCGUUAUCCGGAUUUACUGGGUGUAAAGGGAGCGGAGACGGCAGCGCAAUGCUGGAGUGAAAUGCCGGGGCCCAACCCCGGAACUGGCUUGGAAACUGUGCAGCUGGAGUGCAGGAGAGGUAAGCGGAAUUCGUAGUGUAGCGGUGAAAUGCGUAGAUAUUAGGAGGAACACCAGUGGCGAAGGCGGCUUACUGGACUGUAACUGACGUUGAGGCUCGAAAGCGUGGGGAGCAAACAGGAUUAGAUACCCUUGUAGUC